This 71-nucleotide transfer RNA is filed under the name Brucella intermedia LMG 3301. RNAcentral's name for it is "Ochrobactrum intermedium LMG 3301 tRNA-Gln". It matches the Rfam family "tRNA". From Rfam's summary of the family: Transfer RNA (tRNA) molecules are approximately 80 nucleotides in length. RNAcentral also lists the same sequence under 1 other name. Lineage: Bacteria; Pseudomonadati; Pseudomonadota; Alphaproteobacteria; Hyphomicrobiales; Brucellaceae. The record is from RNAcentral.
UCGGCCUUCGCUUAAUGGUAGGGCAUCGCACUUUGAAUGCGUCUGUCUUGUUUCGAUCCCAAGAGGCCGAU